Molecule: ribosomal RNA, 615 nt
Filed under: uncultured bacterium
Lineage: Bacteria
Description: bacterial SSU rRNA
Rfam family: Bacterial small subunit ribosomal RNA
Source: RNAcentral
AGUCGUACGAGAACUCUUUAGCUUGCUAAAGAUAGUAAAGUGGCGCACGGGUGAGUAACGCGUGGGUAAUCUACCUCCGAAUCAGGAAUAACCAGCCGAAAGGCUAGCUAAUACCGGAUAAUAUCUAUAGAACUUCGGUUUUAAAGAUCAAAGGUGGUCUCUACAUGUAAGCUACUGUUUGGAGAUGAGCCCGCGUACCAUUAGCUUGUUGGUAGGGUAAUGGCCUACCAAGGCUUCGAUGGUUAGCUGGUCUGAGAGGAUGAUCAGCCACACUGGAACUGACACACGGUCCAGACUCCUACGGGAGGCAGCAGUGAGGAAUUUUGCGCAAUGGGGGAAACCCUGACGCAGCAACGCCGCGUGAGUGACGAAGGCUUUCGGGUCGUAAAGCUCUGUCAAGUGGGAAGAACAUGUUUGAUGCUAAUACCAUCAUGCAUUGACGGUACCACUGAAGGAAGCACCGGCUAACUCCGUGCCAGCAGCCGCGGUAAUACGGGGGGUGCAAGCGUUAUUCGGAAUUAUUGGGCGUAAAGGGCGCGUAGGCGGUCUUUUAAGUCAGAUGUGAAAGCCCGGGGCUCAACCCCGGAAGUGCAUUUGAAACUAAGGGACUUGAGU